CCUACGGGAGGCAGCAGUGGGGAAUAUUGGGCAAUGGGCGCAAGCCUGACCCAGCAACGCCGCGUGAAGGAAGAAGGCUUUCGGGUUGUAAACUUCUUUUCUCAGGGACGAAGAAAGUGACGGUACCUGAGGAAUAAGCCACGGCUAACUACGUGCCAGCAGCCGCGGUAAUACGUAGGUGGCAAGCGUUAUCCGGAUUUACUGGGUGUAAAGGGGGUGUAGGCGGGAAAGCAAGUCAGAUGUGAAAACCAUGGGCUCAACCUGUGGCCUGCAUUUGAAACUGUUUUUCUUGAGUACUGGAGAGGCAGACGGAAUUCCUAGUGUAGCGGUGAAAUGCGUAGAUAUUAGGAGGAACACCAGUGGCGAAGGCGGUCUGCUGGACAGCAACUGACGCUGAGGCGCGAAAGCGUGGGGAGCAAACAGGAUUAGAUACCCCAGUAGUC
This 443-nucleotide ribosomal RNA is filed under the name uncultured bacterium. RNAcentral's name for it is "partial 16S ribosomal RNA". It matches the Rfam family "Bacterial small subunit ribosomal RNA", at positions 338 to 795 of the family's 1533-position model. The record is from RNAcentral.